GCCGGCAGCUAUGUCUCUGCAACUCUCACAUGGUUGCCCACUGAAGCUAAGCAGGGCUGUGCCCGGUCAGUACCUGGAUGGGAGACCACAUGGGAAAGCUAGGUUGCUGCUGGAA
This 115-nucleotide ribosomal RNA is filed under the name Danio rerio (zebrafish). Lineage: Eukaryota; Metazoa; Chordata; Actinopteri; Cypriniformes; Danionidae. The record is from RNAcentral.